This 953-nucleotide long non-coding RNA is filed under the name Arabidopsis lyrata. RNAcentral describes it as "long non-coding RNA (ALYR_LNC002586)". Lineage: Eukaryota; Viridiplantae; Streptophyta; Magnoliopsida; Brassicales; Brassicaceae. The record is from RNAcentral.
ACCUUAACCACCAGUUUGGUCCUUGUGAGUUCGGUCUUUGUGGUGAGGAUGUUUCAGCUUGUGACUUACACCGUUGCCUAUUUCCAAUGUAAGAGCCUGCAAGGCAAAGACGUUGACUCGCUGAGGGAUGUGGAAUAUACGAAAUUGUCCUCCACUACUCUCAUGGGAGGAUUGCCUUGAUUAUAUCUAUAGAAGUGGUAUAUAGUUUGUUUGUCUUAAGAAUGUUGAAGUUCACCAUGGAUUCGGUAAAUGAGUUCUAAUAAUCAAAGUUUGUUUUCUUACAAAGUAAUAAUCAAAGGUUUGGUUGUAUAUGUAUGUAUAUAGCAAGGUAUUUUUGCUUUUCUAUACAAUGCCGCAUAUGAUUUGAUUAUCCAUUUCGAUCAAAGUGAGAAAACCACUAUACUACAACAAUUAUUAUCUUUUUGAUAUAAAGUUUUAUAGAAAGCAACCAAAAUAAUAAUUAGAAAAAGGUAUUCACCUGUUUUUUAUGUGUCGCUAUUCCAGAGAAGUCUGGUCUGCGCUAGUCUCCAAGCUUCUCUCCACGCGAUACACAACUAGAUGGCACCAUAUUAUCAACCUCUUAAAGGAGAACUCCUUAGGACAUGAUCAACUGUUUCUUCUAAGGUAUUGUUUUCAGCUCUCAAUACAUGCUCUGUGGGGAGAAAGAAACAAAAGAUGACAUGGCGAGACUCCAAUUCCAGCAAGCCAACUAGUCAAAAGACUGGAUAAGCAAGUUCGGAAUAGAAUUUCGUCGAUUCGCGAGCAAGGGGAUGGCAAAUACAGAGGUUGUAUGGUGACUUGGUUCAAAUCAAGAUAACCACAAGGCUUUAUCAAUUGUUUCUCAGAUUUUUUGGUUAAAACGAAUAUAUAAACUCUCGCUGUCUUAAAAAAAAUACUAUGUAACAAUGUUUUCCUUAAAAAUUUACUAUGUUCUUUGAAAUAUCAUGUCUUUU